AAAUUUGCCAGAGACAAAUGUCCCAUGUGUGUCAAACAUAGAGCCAUCACCCCUCCUCUGACAGUAUGCAUAAUAUUAUGAACAAUCCAAAGGACUAUUCAUGGUGAUUUGUCUGUUUUAUUUAUUACAAAAGAAACUAAGCUUUAUUGCCACAUUACAUAACUAUAUAUUCCUCAUUCUUUUGGUUUGAUGACAAGCCCCACAUAACUAUAUAUUCCUCAUUCUUUUGGUUUGAUUGCAAUGCCUUUGAUGACAAGCCCCUGCUUCCACAUACCACCAUCAUAUUCAAACAAAGAUAUCUCCAUCUCACCACCAUCUUUCUCACAUGCUACAAACUCACCAACCGGAACCUCUAUCCACCUUCCCCUUAACAUCUCCAUUAAAUUCACCUUGUGUUGCUGCUUCUUUCCUCCUGGAAGAACAAGUCUAACAUUUAUCGGAAGUUCCCAACCCUGAGCCGGAUCUUUCAACAUUACAUAAAAUGAAACUUGAUAUAAAAUUCCUGGUGAAAGCUUUCUAGUGUCAAAUUUUCCAUGCACUUCUAGCCAACAAACUCUCUUCAGUUCAGCUACCUCACUCAUCCCGUCGCUACAAAACAUAUCUUACAUUAAUCACGACUAAAAACUAUGUAACGUAAUAUGAAAUCACUCAUAUGUAUGUGUACCUUGCAUCUUUUUGCUGUAUCCAUUUCCAGUAAAUUGGAUUCUCUGCCCAAGUGAUUGAUAGUGCUCUUGCAUACAACAUAA
RNAcentral lists this long non-coding RNA (746 nucleotides) under Lathyrus oleraceus (garden pea). RNAcentral's name for it is "Pisum sativum (pea) long non-coding RNA (PSAT_LNC029552)". The record is from RNAcentral. Lineage: Eukaryota; Viridiplantae; Streptophyta; Magnoliopsida; Fabales; Fabaceae.